GAUGAACGCUGGCGGCGUGCCUAAUACAUGCAAGUCGAGCGAACAGAUAAGGAGCUUGCUCCUUUGACGUUAGCGGCGGACGGGUGAGUAACACGUGGGUAACCUACCUAUAAGACUGGGAUAACUUCGGGAAACCGGAGCUAAUACCGGAUAACAUUUGGAACCGCAUGGUUCUAAAGUGAAAGAUGGUUUUGCUAUCACUUAUAGAUGGACCCGCGCCGUAUUGGCUAGUUGGUAAGGUAACGGCUUACCAAGGCGACGAUACGUAGCCGACCUGAGAGGGUGAUCGGCCACACUGGAACUGAGACACGGUCCAGACUCCUACGGGAGGCAGCAGUAGGGAAUCUUCCGCAAUGGGCGAAAGCCUGACGGAGCAACGCCGCGUGAGUGAUGAAGGGUUUCGGCUCGUAAAACUCUGUUAUUAGGGAAGAACAAAUGUGUAAGUAACUGUGCACGUCUUGACGGUACCUAAUCAGAAAGCCACGGCUAACUACGUG
RNAcentral lists this ribosomal RNA (497 nucleotides) under uncultured bacterium. RNAcentral's name for it is "partial 16S ribosomal RNA". It matches the Rfam family "Bacterial small subunit ribosomal RNA", at positions 28 to 507 of the family's 1533-position model. The record is from RNAcentral.